GGACAAGUACAUUAUUUUAUUCACUGGUGUAUCCCCAGCACUAGAAUAGUAGUAGCAAGCAUUCAAUAGAUGUUCUAUAAUAAAUCAAAUGGAUUUAAAUACUGGUUUGCUUAUAUGUCUCUCCCACUAGAAGCUAUGUUCUUUUAAAAUAAGGACCACGUUUUAUUCCAUUUAAAUCCCCUUUGCCUAGCACAAUGCCUAGUAAGUGUUCAAUCUAUUUAUGAAUAAGUAAAAGAUAAAAAAAAAAAAAGGACAUUAGGCAGCUUACAAAAUCAAGGAGGUAUUAAGGAGGUAUGG
This 297-nucleotide long non-coding RNA is filed under the name Homo sapiens (human). RNAcentral's name for it is "non-protein coding lnc-CABLES1-3:2". The record is from RNAcentral. Lineage: Eukaryota; Metazoa; Chordata; Mammalia; Primates; Hominidae.